This 834-nucleotide small RNA is filed under the name Histoplasma capsulatum. RNAcentral describes it as "hypothetical RNA". Lineage: Eukaryota; Fungi; Ascomycota; Eurotiomycetes; Onygenales; Ajellomycetaceae. The record is from RNAcentral. RNAcentral also lists the same sequence under 1 other name.
GACGAUUUGCCAUAUGGAGCCGCGGAGGGCGAUGACAUCUACGCUCCCAUCAAGGCGCAGGGCAAGUUCCUUGUUACGCAGCGGACGGAGGGUGUCAGUACGACGGGCAUUAUUACUCACAUCGUCCGCGACUACGAAAAAUACAUCACCCGCCAACUGAAACGCGGCACCUCGCGCCAAGAACUCAACGUCUCCUGGCUCAAGAAGAAUGAGCUCGACAUCAAACGCCACGUCGCCGAGCUGCGCGAUAGCAUCAAGAAUAACUGGUCCGCCACAGGCCAGGAGCUGGGCAAGGAGCUGCGCCAGUUUUGGCUGAAUAGCCGGCCCUCGAGUCCGGCGCGAAACAGCGUGGACGGCAGCGUCGGCGGGUUCGGCUUCGGUGGUAAUAAUCGAGGGGCAGGGGCCGGCGCUACCAGUCCCGGGCAUCACAAUAAUAGUAAUAAUAGUCAUAAUGGUUAUUUUGGCAUUGGGGGCGGGAGUCGAACGCAAUUGGGGCGGUUGGAAAUGCCCGGUCGAUCUGAGAGCCCGGGGGUUGGGCCAGGGAGGAGCGAGGACUUUGCGACGGGCUAUAGCUUAGGGUUGAUAGGGGGGGUUAGGGCUUGGGUGAGUGUUUGCUUUUAUUGCUUUUUCUCCUCCCGUUCCCUUCUAAUUAAAAUCCGCACACAACCCGCCACCAACGCACGCACACAAACACACACAACUAUAAAUGUUAACAUCCAAGAAAUUAAAAAAAAUAUAGAUGACCCGCAGCCUCACCUCGCUCCACGAUACGGACAACCAUGCGGACGCCGCACUCUCCUCGCCAUCGGGCAGCGAUGAGGAUCGCGAAAAUGG